AGUGGCGAACGGGUGCGAAACACGUGAACAAUCUACCUCCAAGUGGGGAAUAGCUCGCCGAAAGGCGAAUUAAUACCGCAUACGGUUGUUUCUCUCCUGAGAGACAUACCAAAGUCGGGGCCCGCAAGGACCUGACGCUGGGAGAGGAGUUCGCGGCCUAUCAGCUAGUUGGCGAGGUAACGGCUCACCAAGGCUAAGACGGGUAGCUGGUCUGAGAGGAUGAUCAGCCACACUGGAACUGAGACACGGUCCAGACACCUUCGGGUGGCAGCAGUUUCGAAUCAUUCACAAUGGGCGAAAGCCUGAUGGUGCGACGCCGCGUGAGGGACGAAGGUCUUCGGAUUGUAAACCUCUGUCACCGGGGAAGAAACGUUUCAUUCUAAUACAAUGAAGCCUGACUUAACCCGGAGAGGAAGCAGUGGCUAACUCUGUGCCAGCAGCCGCGGUAAUACAGAGACUGCAAGCGUUAUUCGGAUUCACUGGGCGUAAAGGGUGCGCAGGCGGCCGUGUGUGUGAGGCGUGAAAGCCCGAGGCUUAACCUCGGAAUUGCACCUCA
RNAcentral lists this ribosomal RNA (556 nucleotides) under uncultured bacterium. Its description in RNAcentral is "bacterial SSU rRNA". It matches the Rfam family "Bacterial small subunit ribosomal RNA", at positions 94 to 630 of the family's 1533-position model. The record is from RNAcentral.